Molecule: ribosomal RNA, 288 nt
Filed under: Salmonella enterica subsp. enterica serovar Cerro
Lineage: Bacteria; Pseudomonadati; Pseudomonadota; Gammaproteobacteria; Enterobacterales; Enterobacteriaceae
Description: partial 23S ribosomal RNA
Rfam family: Bacterial large subunit ribosomal RNA
Source: RNAcentral
CCGGCGAGGGGAGUGAAAAAGAACCUGAAACCGUGUACGUACAAGCAGUGGGAGCACCCUUUUGGGUGUGACUGCGUACCUUUUGUAUAAUGGGUCAGCGACUUAUAUUCUGUAGCAAGGUUAACCGAAUAGGGGAGCCGGAGGGAAACCGAGUCUUAAUUGGGCGUUAAGUUGCAGGGUAUAGACCCGAAACCCGGUGAUCUAGCCAUGGGCAGGUUGAAGGUUGGGUAACACUAACUGGAGGACCGAACCGACUAAUGUUGAAAAAUUAGCGGAUGACCUGUGGCU